ACGCUCGACACCUACGGGGGGCAGCAGUGGGGAAUAUUGCACAAUGGGGGAAAACCCUGAUGCAGCGACGCCGCGUGAGUGAAGAAGUAUUUCGGUAUGUAAAGCUCUAAUCAGCAGGGAAGAAGAUGACGGUACCUGAGUAAGAAGCCCCGGCUAACUACGUGCAGCAGCCGCGGUAAUCUGAGCGGCUGGCAAGGC
RNAcentral lists this ribosomal RNA (198 nucleotides) under uncultured bacterium. RNAcentral's name for it is "partial 16S ribosomal RNA". It matches the Rfam family "Bacterial small subunit ribosomal RNA", at positions 328 to 539 of the family's 1533-position model. The record is from RNAcentral.